This 76-nucleotide transfer RNA is filed under the name Alosa alosa (allis shad). RNAcentral describes it as "tRNA-Tyr". It matches the Rfam family "tRNA". From Rfam's summary of the family: Transfer RNA (tRNA) molecules are approximately 80 nucleotides in length. Their secondary structure includes four short double-helical elements and three loops (D, anti-codon, and T loops). Lineage: Eukaryota; Metazoa; Chordata; Actinopteri; Clupeiformes; Clupeidae. The record is from RNAcentral.
CCUUCGAUAGCUCAGUUGGUAGAGCGGAGGAGGACUGUAGAUCCUUAGGUCGCUGGUUCGACUCCGGCUCGAAGGA